GAUGAACGCUGGCGGCGUGCCUAAUACAUGCAAGUCGAGCGAACAGACGAGGAGCUUGCUCCUCUGACGUUAGCGGCGGACGGGUGAGUAACACGUGGAUAACCUACCUAUAAGACUGGGAUAACUUCGGGAAACCGGAGCCAAUACCGGAUAAUAUAUUGAACCGCAUGGUUCAAUAGUGAAAGACGGUUUUGCUGUCACUUAUAGAUGGAUCCGCGCCGCAUUAGCUAGUUGGUAAGGUAACGGCUUACCAAGGCAACGAUGCGUAGCCGACCUGAGAGGGUGAUCGGCCACACUGGAACUGAGACACGGUCCAGACUCCUACGGGAGGCAGCAGUAGGGAAUCUUCCGCAAAGGGCGAAAGCCUGACGGAGCCACGCCGCGUGGGUGAUGAAGGUCUUCGGAUCGUAAAACUCUGUUAUUAGGGAAGAACAGAUGUGUAAGUAACUAUGCACGUCUUGACGGUACCUAAUCAGAAAGCCCCGGCUAACUACGUG
RNAcentral lists this ribosomal RNA (497 nucleotides) under uncultured bacterium. Its description in RNAcentral is "partial 16S ribosomal RNA". It matches the Rfam family "Bacterial small subunit ribosomal RNA", at positions 28 to 507 of the family's 1533-position model. The record is from RNAcentral.